GUGACUGCGUACCUUUUGUAUAAUGGGUCAGCGACUUAUAUUCUGUAGCAAGGUUAACCGUAUAGGGGAGCCGGAGGGAAACCGAGUCUUAACCGGGCGUUAAGUUGCAGGGUAUAGACCCGAAACCCGGUGAUCUAGCCAUGGGCAGGUUGAAGGUUGGGUAACACUAACUGGAGGACCGAACCGACUAAUGUUGAAAAAUUAGCGGAUGACCUGUGGCUGGGGGUGAAAGGCCAAUCAAACCGGGAGAUAGCUGGUUCUCCCCGAAAGCUAUUUAGGUAGCGCCUCGUGAAUUCAUCUCCGGGGGUAGAGCACUGUUUCGGCUAGGGGGCCAUCCCGGCUUACCAACCCGAUGCAAACUGCGAAUACCGGAGAAUGUUAUCACGGGAGACACACGGCGGGUGCUAACGUCCGUCGUGAAGAGGGAAACAACCCAGACCGCCAGCUAAGGUCCCAAAGUCAUGGUUAAGUGGGAAACGAUGUGGGAAGGCCCAGACAGCCAGGAUGUUGGCUUAGAAGCAGCCAUCAUUUAAAGAAAGCGUAAUAGCUCACUGGUCGAGUCGGCCUGCGCGGAAGAUGUAACGGGGCUAAACCAUGCACCGAAGCUGCGGCAGCGAACGUAUCACCCAAGACAACUUUACGGAGUUGACGAUUGACGGAGCGAAGCGACGUCAAAGCGUUCAUUAAAGUCGAGUUGGCUUAGGGAUACGUUCGUUGGGUAGGGGAGCGUUCUGUAAGCCUGUGAAGGUGUGUCGUGAGGCAUGCUGGAGGUAUCAGAAGUGCGAAUGCUGACAUAAGUAACGAUAAAGCGGGUGAAAAGCCCGCUCGCCGGAAGACCAAGGGUUCCUGUCCAACGUUAAUCGGGGCAGGGUGAGUCGACCCCUAAGGCGAGGCCGAAAGGCGUAGUCGAUGGGAAACGGGUUAAUAUUCCCGUACUUGGUGUUACUGCGAAGGGGGGACGGAGAAGGCUAUGUUGGCCGGGCGACGGUUGUCCCGGUUUAAGCGUGUAGGUGUGUGUUCCAGGUAAAUCCGGUUCACUUUAACACUGAGGCGUGACGACGAGGCACUACGGUGCUGAAGCAACAAAUGCCCUGCUUCCAGGAAAAGCCUCUAAGCAUCAGGUAACACGAAAUCGUACCCCAAACCGACACAGGUGGUCAGGUAGAGAAUACCAAGGCGCUUGAGAGAACUCGGGUGAAGGAACUAGGCAAAAUGGUGCCGUAACUUCGGGAGAAGGCACGCUGACACGUAGGUGAAGUGAUUUACUCAUGGAGCUGAAGUCAGUCGAAGAUACCAGCUGGCUGCAACUGUUUAUUAAAAACACAGCACUGUGCAAACACGAAAGUGGACGUAUACGGUGUGACGCCUGCCCGGUGCCGGAAGGUUAAUUGAUGGGGUCAGCGUAAGCGAAGCUCCUGAUCGAAGCCCCGGUAAACGGCGGCCGUAACUAUAACGGUCCUAAGGUAGCGAAAUUCCUUGUCGGGUAAGUUCCGACCUGCACGAAUGGCGUAAUGAUGGCCAGGCUGUCUCCACCCGAGACUCAGUGAAAUUGAACUCGCUGUGAAGAUGCAGUGUACCCGCGGCAAGACGGAAAGACCCCGUGAACCUUUACUAUAGCUUGACACUGAACAUUGAGCCUUGAUGUGUAGGAUAGGUGGGAGGCUUUGAAGUGUGGACGCCAGUCUGCAUGGAGCCGACCUUGAAAUACCACCCUUUAAUGUUUGAUGUUCUAACGUGGACCCGUAAUCCGGGUUGCGGACAGUGUCUGGUGGGU
Molecule: ribosomal RNA, 1774 nt
Filed under: Salmonella enterica subsp. enterica serovar Typhimurium str. DT104
Lineage: Bacteria; Pseudomonadati; Pseudomonadota; Gammaproteobacteria; Enterobacterales; Enterobacteriaceae
Description: bacterial LSU rRNA
Rfam family: Bacterial large subunit ribosomal RNA
Source: RNAcentral